CCAUAUAAUGCAUAUAGAAAAAGAUGAGAUUUUUGCUUGCUGUAAAUCUUUUCUGGUGUAUUUAAAAGUGUUAUGUGACAUUUUCUUUUUGCCAUUUUCAUUAUUUUCAGAGGGAACUUGUUGCCUUGAGGAGAACCAGGAGGAGUGUGAACCUCCUCUGCACUAAGGCAAGCCAUCACAAAUAUUUGCAAGAGUGUCAUUUCAAUAAGUAUGAUUUUCACUUGAAUAUGGUCCCAUAUAAUGCAUAUAGAAAAUUAAAUAAUAUAACUUGUGCUAGUUUCAUUUCCGUGCUAUGCUUGUAAUGUUUUCAGUGUUAUUUAAGUUGUUUGGUUAAGGUUAUGCAGUAGGGUAACAUGAUCAUGAGCACGAGUAAGUUCAUACCGGUAUUAUGUUGAAAUGGUGCAUAUAUAUAGGUCAUUGCAUUUUCAUGGCAUACUAUGACUCAGAAAUAAUUCUUUGCAAGUUGAAACCUAAUAAUAAUCCAACUUGAACAUGUUGUUGAUCGAGUCAUGGUGUCACCGAAUCGAGCUUCCCAGUGCAACCACAUGUGCCUUUAUGGGGAGGCCCUUUCUCGUUCUGUUGUUAUGCCUCUCGCCGGUGCCUCCAACUAGGGAAGGUUAUGCGCUUGCGCUACCCUGGCCUGGUAGGCAGGCAUAGCCUUGUGUGCUCGUAGUUGAUUUGGUACCAUUAUCUCCAUUUGGGAUCGUUUGUUUUGCCACGACGGUGGUCGUUGGGUGUCAUGAGGUGACAUCGGGGCCACCCAGGACUUAGCCCAAAGGGGAGUUGGUCGGAGUGGCUGGGAGAGUGUCAUGGCAAUAGAUUGGUUCUGUUGGAACGUCGUUGGUCCACCCUAAUGGGAGUUCGAGGCAAUGGGUUCUGUGGUGUAGGUAUAAUGUACUACCUAUGCAGAGUGUGUUUAAUCUAUCGAUAGAUGCAUCCUCGGUCAUGGACACAAUUCAUAGUAGGUCACACCGUGGAUCAACAGAAAUACUGAACCUGCACACUAAAGUUAUACUUGUGGCACUUGUUAUGUUGGUGGAGUUGUUGAGACCGUCAAGAUGGUUUCUUUUGUGAUCCGGAGGUGAUCACCGUGGUAAGAUGUUCAUGGUUCCGAGGUAACCAAGAUGGUAAGCGGGUCUGAGAGACUCCGUUUGCGGGCACGGUCACUUCAUGAGUAGCAUGCUUAGUUCUUGCAUUGAACCUGCUUAAAUAUCAUGUUGUUGUUUGCCAUUGUUGCUUUAUUUGUGUGAGCUUGUGAGUACAUUCAAAGUACUUACCUGGCGUGUCAUGCUAGUUUCAGGAGAAGUCAUACCGUAGUUGGAGUUGCAUCGUUGCAUCGCAGUCUAGACCGUGUCCACAUCGGUGUCCUUGUGAGAUGGAGUUCCUCUACGUCGUCGUUCCGCUGCCGCGUAGCUUUAUUGUCGUGCUCGAGGUCCCUAUCAUGUUCAUUAAAUAAUGUACAUAUGUGCAACAGCACCGUGUGUGCCGCUUGGCCUCGCUAUCUGAUGUACUAUCAAACCUAUGCUUCAAUAAAGUGGUUGUCUUUCUGUACCAA
Molecule: long non-coding RNA, 1555 nt
Filed under: Triticum aestivum (bread wheat)
Lineage: Eukaryota; Viridiplantae; Streptophyta; Magnoliopsida; Poales; Poaceae
Description: long non-coding RNA (TAES_LNC011694)
Source: RNAcentral